GUAGGGAAUCUUGCGCAAUGGGCGAAAGCCUGACGCAGCCAUGCCGCGUGAAUGAUGAAGGUCUUAGGAUUGUAAAAUUCUUUCACCGGGGACGAUAAUGACGGUACCCGGAGAAGAAGCUCCGGCUAACUUCGUGCCAGCAGCCGCGGUAAUACGAAGGGGGCUAGCGUUGCUCGGAAUUACUGGGCGUAAAGGGCGCGUAGGCGGACAGCUUAGUCAGAGGUGAAAGCCCAGGGCUCAACCUUGGAAUUGCCUUUGAUACUGGCUGUCUUGAGUUUGGGAGAGGUGAGUGGAACUCCGAGUGUAGAGGUGAAAUUCGUAGAUAUUCGGAAGAACACCAGUGGCGAAGGCGACUCACUGGCCCAAUACUGACGCUGAGGCGCGAAAGCGUGGGGAGCAAACAGGAUUAGAAACCCGGGUAGUCC
Molecule: ribosomal RNA, 425 nt
Filed under: uncultured bacterium
Lineage: Bacteria
Description: partial 16S ribosomal RNA
Rfam family: Bacterial small subunit ribosomal RNA
Source: RNAcentral